Molecule: ribosomal RNA, 327 nt
Filed under: uncultured eukaryote
Lineage: Eukaryota
Description: partial 18S ribosomal RNA
Rfam family: Eukaryotic small subunit ribosomal RNA
Source: RNAcentral
CCCUUAGAUGUUCUGGGCCGCACGCGCGCUACACUGACGAAUGCAACGAGCUUAUAACCUUGGCCGAAAGGUCUGGGUAAUCUCCAAAUUUCGUCGUGAUGGGGAUAGAUUAUUGCAAUUAUUAAUCUUCAACGAGGAAUGCCUAGUAAGCGCAAGUCAUCAGCUUGCGUUGAUUACGUCCCUGCCCUUUGUACACACCGCCCGUCGCUCCUACCGAUUGAAUGGUCCGAUGAAUAUCAUGGAUUGAGGAUGCAAGUAGGUUAGCCUAUCUUCAUCUUCGAGAAGUGAAGUAAAUCUUAUCAUUUAGAGGAAGGAGAAGUCGUAACA